GAAAUGCGAUAAGUAGUGUGAAUUGCAGAAUUCAGUGAAUCAUCGAAUCUUUGAACGCACAUUGCGCCCCUUGGUAUUCCAUGGGGCAUGCCUGUUCGAGCGUCAUUUGUACCCUCAAGCUCUGCUUGGUGUUGGGUGUUUGUCCCCGUCUCCGCGCGUGGACUCGCCCCAAAGUGAUUGGCAGCCGGCGUACUGGUCCCGGAGCGCAGCACAUGUCGCGCAAACGAGUGCCUUGGUACGGCGGCGUCCAUAAGCCCCUCUCUCACGCUCUUGACCUCGGAUCAGGUAGGGCUACCCGCUGAACUUAAGC
This 310-nucleotide unclassified non-coding RNA is filed under the name plant metagenome. RNAcentral describes it as "partial contains 5.8S ribosomal RNA, internal transcribed spacer 2, and large subunit ribosomal RNA". The stretch from base 1 to 105 matches the Rfam family "5.8S ribosomal RNA", at positions 50 to 154 of the family's 154-position model. The record is from RNAcentral.